AGGUUGUUGAGAUUAUUGAUCGGUAUGAUCAUGCAUGUGUCCCACCUAACAUGACUGAUAAUAAGCUUGCGUACAUCCAGAAUGAGGCUAUAUCCAGAGAGUGCACAAGGACUCUCACGGUUACAAAGGAUACGAAGCAGCCAAUUUAUGCCUACUACCAACUUGACAACUUUUAUCAGAAUCAUAGGAGGUAUAGUCUUAUUUGAUGUUUUCAGUCAAUAACUUCUGGAGCAACUUAUUUGAUGUUUUCAGUCAAUAAAAUGGGAUUAUUGUUUGUUAGUUAUGGGUCCUUAUGGAAGUCUAUAUUUGACCUAUUGUGUUGACAUCAGUUCGCAAUUUUAUUUUCCAGUUCAUGCCCCGGUCAAAUCUAGAGCUAUGCAUGCCUAUGUCAUCUCUCACAGAUCACUGUUCUUUUCAUUCCUCCAAUUGAAACCAUGGCUGCCAGUAUUGAGGGUCAGGAUUCUGUACUAGACGUGAUGAGAUAAAAUGAGGUCUGAAUUUUUUAGCCAUGCUUUCUUAGCUCAUGAAGGCAGGAGCAUAUGUGAUUUUUCUGUACCACCUUCCCGCGGCUCUGAGGAUUUUGUCUGCUCGCUGCCUCUCCGCUAUUUAUUUGUUGUGUCUACUGCAUUGUUUGUUCUGCCACCCUUUUCCUCAGUUGCUAGCGGGGGGCCUUGGCUUAUCGUAUUGUUUGUUGCCUUCCUCUCAUAGGUUCGUUGGUAUUGUAAACCAUUUUUGUUGUAGUAAUAACUACAAUGUCAAAUAAAUUUACAUUUCACCUUGCUUCCACUAUUAUUCAAGUUUUUCCCUGCUUAUUGGUCGUACUAGCAAGAUGGUUUUUGUUUUUUUACCGUGUCUAACAUAGUGUAUUUCUACGAUUUUUCUCUGUUAAAACAUAUCCACUUCCAUGCUCUUUUCUCUAUUUUAGUACACAAUAGUAUGGCUGCAUACUACCAAUUGCAGAAAUUAUUCAUUUGCCACUAAAAUAUAUAUUUUCCUAUUCACAAAUUAAAUAACAACAAAGAUGAAGUUGGUCCC
RNAcentral lists this ribosomal RNA (1035 nucleotides) under Triticum aestivum (bread wheat). RNAcentral's name for it is "partial small subunit ribosomal RNA". Lineage: Eukaryota; Viridiplantae; Streptophyta; Magnoliopsida; Poales; Poaceae. The record is from RNAcentral.